UGGGGAAUUUUGGACAAUGGGCGAAAGCCUGAUCCAGCAAUGCCGCGUGUGUGAAGAAGGCCUUCGGGUUGUAAAGCACUUUUGUCCGGAAAGAAAUCCUUGGCUCUAAUACAGUCGGGGGAUGACGGUACCGGAAGAAUAAGCACCGGCUAACUACGUGCCAGCAGCCGCGGUAAUACGUAGGGUGCAAGCGUUAAUCGGAAUUACUGGGCGUAAAGCGUGCGCAGGCGGUUUGCUAAGACCGAUGUGAAAUCCCCGGGCUCAACCUGGGAACUGCAUUGGUGACUGGGCAGGCUAGAGUAUGGCAGAGGGGGGUAGAAUUCCACGUGUAGCAGUGAAAUGCGUAGAGAUGUGGAGGAAUACCGAUGGCGAAGGCAGCCCCCUGGGCCAAUACUGACGCUCAUGCACGAAAGCGUGGGGAGCAAACAGGAUUAGAUACCCUGGUAGUCCACGCCCUAAACGAUGUCAACUAGUUGUUGGGGAUUCAUUUCCUUAGUAACGUAGCUAACGCGUGAAGUUGACCGCCUGGGGAGUACGGUCGCAAGAUUAAAACUCAAAGGAAUUGACGGGGUCAUAGCUGUUUCCU
RNAcentral lists this ribosomal RNA (586 nucleotides) under uncultured bacterium. RNAcentral's name for it is "partial 16S ribosomal RNA". It matches the Rfam family "Bacterial small subunit ribosomal RNA", at positions 355 to 1375 of the family's 1533-position model. The record is from RNAcentral.